CCUACGGGAGGCAGCAGUGGGGAAUAUUGGACAAUGGGGGGAACCCUGAUCCAGCCAUGCCGCGUGUGUGAAGAAGGCCCUCGGGUUGUAAAGCACUUUCAGUGAGGAAGAACGCCUGGUGGUUAAUACCCAUCAGGAAAGACAUCACUCACAGAAGAAGCACCGGCUAACUCCGUGCCAGCAGCCGCGGUAAUACGGAGGGUGCGAGCGUUAAUCGGAAUUACUGGGCGUAAAGCGCGCGUAGGUGGCUUGAUAAGCCGGUUGUGAAAGCCCCGGGCUCAACCUGGGAACGGCAUCCGGAACUGUCAAGCUAGAGUGUAGGAGAGGAAGGUGGAAUUCCCGGUGUAGCGGUGAAAUGCGUAGAGAUCGGGAGGAAUACCAGUGGCGAAGGCGGCCUUCUGGACUGACACUGACGCUGAGGUGCGAAAGCGUGGGGAGCAAACAGGAUUAGAUACCCCGGUAGUC
This 465-nucleotide ribosomal RNA is filed under the name Vreelandella stevensii. RNAcentral describes it as "partial 16S ribosomal RNA". It matches the Rfam family "Bacterial small subunit ribosomal RNA", at positions 338 to 795 of the family's 1533-position model. The record is from RNAcentral. Lineage: Bacteria; Pseudomonadati; Pseudomonadota; Gammaproteobacteria; Oceanospirillales; Halomonadaceae.